UGGCGGUGCGGCGUGCUUACCAUGCAAGUCGAACGAUGAUGCCCAGCUUGCUGGGCUGAUUAGUGGCGAACGGGUGAGUAAUACGUGAGUAACCUGCCCUUGACUCUGGGAUAAGCCUGGGAAACUGGGUCUAAUACUGGAUACUACCUUUCAUCGCAUGGUGGGGGGUGGAAAGGGUUUUACUGGUUUUGGAUGGGCUCACGGCCUAUCAGCUUGUUGGUGGGGUAAUGGCUCACCAAGGCGACGACGGGUAGCCGGCCUGAGAGGGUGACCGGCCACACUGGGACUGAGACACGGCCCAGACUCCUACGGGAGGCAGCAGUGGGGAAUAUUGCACAAUGGGCGAAAGCCUGAUGCAGCGACGCCGCGUGAGGGAUGACGGCCUUCGGGUUGUAAACCUCUUUCAGUAGGGAAGAAGCGAAAGUGACGGUACCUGCAGAAGAAGCGCCGGCUAACUACGUGCCAGCAGCCGCGGUAAUACGUAGGGCGCAAGCGUUGUCCGGAAUUAUUGGGCGUAAAGAGCUCGUAGGCGGUUUGUCGCGUCUGCUGUGAAAGCCCGGGGCUCAACCCCGGGUCUGCAGUGGGUACGGGCAGACUAGAGUGCAGUAGGGGAGACUGGAAUUCCUGGUGUAGCGGUGAAAUGCGCAGAUAUCAGGAGGAACACCGAUGGCGAAGGCAGGUCUCUGGGCUGUUACUGACGCUGAGGAGCGAAAGCAUGGGGAGCGAACAGGAUUAGAUACCCUGGUAGUCCAUGCCGUAAACGUUGGGCACUAGGUGUGGGGGACAUUCCACGUUUUCCGCGCCGUAGCUAACGCAUUAAGUGCCCCGCCUGGGGAGUACGGCCGCAAGGCUAAAACUCAAAGGAAUUGACGGGGGCCCGCACAAGCGGCGGAGCAUGCGGAUUAAUUCGAUGCAACGCGAAGAACCUUACCAAGGCUUGACAUUCACCGGACCGCCUCAGAGAUGGGGUUUCCCUUCGGGGCUGGUGGACAGGUGGUGCAUGGUUGUCGUCAGCUCGUGUCGUGAGAUGUUGGGUUAAGUCCCGCAACGAGCGCAACCCUCGUUCUAUGUUGCCAGCACGUGAUGGUGGGGACUCAUAGGAGACUGCCGGGGUCAACUCGGAGGAAGGUGGGGAUGACGUCAAAUCAUCAUGCCCCUUAUGUCUUGGGCUUCACGCAUGCUACAAUGGCCGGUACAAAGGGUUGCGAUACUGUGAGGUGGAGCUAAUCCCAAAAAGCCGGUCUCAGUUCGGAUUGAGGUCUGCAACUCGACCUCAUGAAGUCGGAGUCGCUAGUAAUCGCAGAUCAGCAACGCUGCGGUGAAUACGUUCCCGGGCCUUGUACACACCGCCCGUCAAGUCACGAAAGUUGGUAACACCCGAAGCCGGUGGCCUAACCCCUUGUGGGAGGGAGCCGUCGAAGGUGAUCGAGG
This 1431-nucleotide ribosomal RNA is filed under the name Kocuria rosea subsp. polaris. RNAcentral describes it as "bacterial SSU rRNA". It matches the Rfam family "Bacterial small subunit ribosomal RNA". The record is from RNAcentral. Lineage: Bacteria; Bacillati; Actinomycetota; Actinomycetes; Micrococcales; Micrococcaceae.